AAGCGCUUGUGACCAGACUUGUGCCCGGCGGAUCAACCAGCGUUCUCGCUGGUGCACUCCUCCGGGCUCAGGCCAGCAUCGGUUCAGGUGGCGGGAUAAAGGCCUUGGGAAUGUAGCUUCUUUCGGGGAGUGUUAUAGCCCUCGGUGCAAUGCCGCCUACCUAGACCGAGGACCGCGCUUCGGCUAGGAUGCUGGCGUAAUGGUUGUAAGCGA
This 213-nucleotide ribosomal RNA is filed under the name Hyaloscyphaceae sp. RNAcentral describes it as "partial large subunit ribosomal RNA". The record is from RNAcentral. Lineage: Eukaryota; Fungi; Ascomycota; Leotiomycetes; Helotiales; Hyaloscyphaceae.